Molecule: ribosomal RNA, 1155 nt
Filed under: uncultured bacterium
Lineage: Bacteria
Description: bacterial SSU rRNA
Rfam family: Bacterial small subunit ribosomal RNA
Source: RNAcentral
CUCCGGUGGUAAGAGAGGGAGCCGGGUGAGAUUCCCUCGUGGGGGAGGUAACGGCUCGGGUAGACAAACAUACCGGCCCGAUUGGAAAGGAUGACCGGCCAGAUUGGGAGUGAGACACGGCCCAGACUCCUACGGGAGGCAGCAGUGGGGAAUCUUGCGCAAUGGGGGGAACCCUGACGCAGCGACGCCGCGUGCGGGACGGAGGCCUUCGGGUCGUAAACCGCUUUCAGCAGGGAAGAGUCAAGACUGUACCUGCAGAAGAAGCCCCGGCUAACUACGUGCCAGCAGCCGCGGUAAUACGUAGGGGGCGAGCGUUAUCCGGAUUCAUUGGGCGUAAAGCGCGCGUAGGCGGCCCGGCAGGCCGGGGGUCGAAGCGGGGGGCUCAACCCCCCGAAGCCCCCGGAACCUCCGCGGCUUGGGUCCGGUAGGGGAGGGUGGAACACCCGGUGUAGCGGUGGAAUGCGCAGAUAUCGGGUGGAACACCGGUGGCGAAGGCGGCCCUCUGGGCCGAGACCGACGCUGAGGCGCGAAAGCUGGGGGAGCGAACAGGAUUAGAUACCCUGGUAGUCCCAGCCGUAAACGAUGGACGCUAGGUGUGGGGGGACGAUCCCCCCGUGCCGCAGCCAACGCAUUAAGCGUCCCGCCUGGGGAGUACGGCCGCAAGGCUAAAACUCAAAGGAAUUGACGGGGGCCCGCACAAGCAGCGGAGCAUGUGGCUUAAUUCGAAGCAACGCGAAGAACCUUACCAGGGCUUGACAUAUGGGUGAAGCGGGGGAGACCCCGUGGCCGAGAGGAGCCCAUACAGGUGGUGCAUGGCUGUCGUCAGCUCGUGUCGUGAGAUGUUGGGUUAAGUCCCGCAACGAGCGCAACCCCCGCCGCGUGUUGCCAUCGGGUGAUGCCGGGAACCCACGCGGGACCGCCGCCGUCAAGGCGGAGGAGGGCGGGGACGACGUCAAGUCAUCAUGCCCCUUAUGCCCUGGGCUGCACACGUGCUACAAUGGCCGGUACAGAGGGAUGCCACCCCGCGAGGGGGAGCGGAUCCCGGAGAGCCGGCCCCAGUUCGGAUUGGGGGCUGCAACCCGCCCCCAUGAAGUCGGAGUUGCUAGUAAUCGCGGAUCAGCAUGCCGCGGUGAAUGCGUUCCCGGGCCUUGCACU